GCGGAUGUGGCGGAAUGGCAGACGCGCAUGGCUCAGGACCAUGUGGGCUUCGGCCCUUGAAGGUUCAAGUCCUUUCAUCCGCACCA
This 86-nucleotide transfer RNA is filed under the name Pseudomonadota bacterium. RNAcentral describes it as "tRNA-Leu". It matches the Rfam family "tRNA". From Rfam's summary of the family: Transfer RNA (tRNA) molecules are approximately 80 nucleotides in length. Their secondary structure includes four short double-helical elements and three loops (D, anti-codon, and T loops). Lineage: Bacteria; Pseudomonadati; Pseudomonadota. The record is from RNAcentral. RNAcentral also lists the same sequence under 4 other names.